RNAcentral lists this ribosomal RNA (320 nucleotides) under Belisana keyti. RNAcentral's name for it is "partial 12S ribosomal RNA". Lineage: Eukaryota; Metazoa; Arthropoda; Arachnida; Araneae; Pholcidae. The record is from RNAcentral.
AGUAGUAUUAUUAUAAAAAACUCAUAUAUGCUGGCGGUUUUAAUAUAUUAGAGAAACUCGCUUAUUAAUCGACAAUACCCGAUAAUUUUAACUUAACUUAUCAAGGCUUAUAUACCGCCGUUAUAUUAGGUUUUAUUAAACAUUAUAAUCCUUAUUUCUCAUCUAUAGAAAAAAAUCAGGUCAAGGUGUAGCGAAUAUUUAAGAUUAAGUAAGUUACACUAAACACAAUUUAAGGACUUUUUAUAAAAAUAAUAUUAUGAAAAAGAAUUUAUAAGUACACUUUAAUUAAAAAUCAAACUCGAAACAACCCAUUAAAACGC